CCUACGGGAGGCAGCAGUAGGGAAUAUUGCUCAAUGGGGGAAACCCUGAAGCAGCAACGCCGCGUGGAGGAUGAAGGUUUUCGGAUUGUAAACUCCUUUUGUUAGAGAAGAUAAUGACGGUAUCUAACGAAUAAGCAACGGCUAACUCCGUGCCAGCAGCCGCGGUAAUACGGAGGGUGCAAGCGUUACUCGGAAUCACUGGGCGUAAAGAGAGCGUAGGCGGGAUAGCAAGUCAGAUGUGAAAUCCUAUGGCUUAACCCUAGAACUGCAUUUGAAACUGUUAUUCUAGAGUAUGGGAGAGGUAGGUGGAAUUCUUGGUGUAGGGGUAAAAUCCGUAGAGAUCAAGAGGAAUACUCAUUGCGAAGGCGACCUGCUAGAACGUAACUGACGCUGAUGCGCGAAAGCGUGGGGAGCAAACAGGAUUAGAUACCCCAGUAGUC
This 440-nucleotide ribosomal RNA is filed under the name uncultured bacterium. Its description in RNAcentral is "partial 16S ribosomal RNA". It matches the Rfam family "Bacterial small subunit ribosomal RNA", at positions 338 to 795 of the family's 1533-position model. The record is from RNAcentral.